Molecule: ribosomal RNA, 253 nt
Filed under: uncultured bacterium
Lineage: Bacteria
Description: partial 16S ribosomal RNA
Rfam family: Bacterial small subunit ribosomal RNA
Source: RNAcentral
AACGUAGGGGGCAAGCGUUGCCCGGAUUCACUGGGCGUAAAGCGGGUGUAGGCGGUUCUUUAAGUCAGAUGUGAAAUCCUGCGGCUCAACCGCGGAACUGCAUCUGAUACUGGGGAACUUGGGGACGGUAGAGGUCGGUGGAAUCCCCGGUGUACCGGUGAAAUGGGCAGAUAUCGGGGGGAACACCAGUGGCGAAGGCGGCCGACUGGGCCGAUCCUGACGCUGAGACCCGAAAGCCAGGGUAGCGAACCGG